RNAcentral lists this unclassified non-coding RNA (480 nucleotides) under uncultured Patulibacter sp. Its description in RNAcentral is "partial contains 16S ribosomal RNA, 16S-23S ribosomal RNA intergenic spacer, and 23S ribosomal RNA". The stretch from base 1 to 164 matches the Rfam family "Bacterial small subunit ribosomal RNA", at positions 1372 to 1533 of the family's 1533-position model. The record is from RNAcentral. Lineage: Bacteria; Bacillati; Actinomycetota; Thermoleophilia; Solirubrobacterales; Patulibacteraceae.
GAAUUGGCCUUGUACACACCGCCCGUCACACCACGGGAGUGAGCAACACCCGAAGCCGGUGGCCUAACCCGCAAGGGAGGGAGCCGUCGAAGGUGGGGCUCGUGACUGGGGUGAAGUCGUAACAAGGUAGCCGUAGCGGAAGCUGCGGCUGGAUCACCUCCUUUCUAGGGAAGGCUUCUCACGAAGCCGUCCGGUCGCUUGUCGAUCGGAACCUGAAUGUCGACCGAGACCUGGUCGCCCAGCACAUCACGCAAGUGCGAGAUGGAGCUGGAUACAUGCUGUUGAGUUUUGAGAGACCGGCCCCCGCCGGUCCUUCCGCUUGUCUGAGACACGGAAGGGUGCGCGGGAGCGACGCCUCUCCACGGACCUUGAAAACUGCACAGUAGCCAAUGAAACGGGUAUCACCGAUCAUUUCGUAAGAAAGAUCAGAUCACCGUCAAGAUAGUAAGGGCACACGGUGGAUACCUAGGCACACAGAGA